AACUAGAACGCAGAGCAUAGCUUAUUAAUACAUUCAGCAAACAUUCACUGAACACCCACAGUGUGCUGAGCACUGUCCUGUGAGUUAGAAGGUUCAAAGAUAUGAGGGAUAUGAUGCAAUGAGGGAGUCAGAAAUUUUGAAAGAGAACCAUCAGGUUUCUGUCGGUAGCCAAGGUAACCGCUGAGUUGAUACUGACAGGAAGAAUGGAGGCAGCCAGAUUAAGGAGGUGGGGGAUGAGAAGGGCAUCUCAGGCAGGGGAAUAGUAGUGAGAUGUCAGGCUAGAGAGCAAAACGGGUCACGCAGAUAGUGUGGGCCUUGAAGCGGGACUGAAGACAAGGCCUCCAGUGGUGAGACAGAAGGAAGAGAUUCAGGAGAAAGCAGAAGAGCUCUGGAAAGAACCAGCAGGUCAGGGGAUGAGAUGAGCAAGUGUAGUGUCCCAGAAGCAAAGGGUGGAAGUAGGAUUUCAACAGCAACCUUUCACAGAGAGGGUGGGGAGGACAGACCCAGAAGAAGGAGGGCUUGGCUGGAAGAAGGCAGUGGUGGGCUCCUCCUUCCAUCCCCAACUAGGUUAAGACGAACCUAAUUCAUAGCUACCAACUCUGCACAUGUGCCUUUCCUGCGUUUCAAACAGAAAGGGAAGUCUCGGCUGCCCAGCAACUGGUUUUUCACUUUCCUUCUUGUUUGCAGCGUGUGUGCCCAGCAGAGGGGGAGGAGUGGGACCUGUAAUCGGUAGUGAUUCAGCCCAGCAGCACACCCUGUGACCACAUCCCCAUUCUGUGUGUGAGUGUGUGAGUGUGAGUGUGUGUGUGUGAGAGAACAUGAGAGUUUGUGUUCCUCCGCGCAUUAGACAAGAGAAGAACAAGGUAUUACUCCAGCACAGUGUUAAAUUCUCUGAAUUAUUCUGAGUUGUAAAACGAGGAGUGAACAGUGGAGCUUCCUCAAAACAGAGAUUCUGGGCGCUCUCUGUAAUUAACAGCUAGCCUUGUGGGUUUUGUGUAUGGAUCUGUUUUGGUUCUGUGUUAUGCAAUUAUUUUUAUAUUGGGAUCAGAUCUGAGUCAUUCAGAGCCUGUGUCUUCUGGACGCUGAUAUGACAGCAGGUGUUGUCAGUGCAGCUCUUUCUUCUCAGAGCGUGCAACUCUUGAUCUUGGGGUGGUGCUGGUCUCAGUGUCAGUGAUAAUGAAUCGGGUCAAGGGAGCCAGGAGGGAGGCACCUUGACUGACUCCCAGAUCGUAGAACUCAGGAGGAUACCCAUUGCUGACACCCACCUCUAGCGCCUUAGUGACCAUUAGAAUGAUACUUUCAUAUUUGUAUUGGUUUUGAGCUAAAACUCUAAUUUUUUACAUACAGCUCUAUAAUAGGAACCUAUGAAUUGUACUGGAUGAUUAACCCAGAAGUGAUUGUUGUGUUGGGAAUAUGAGUUACUUAUCUUUGUGCAACCUGAAAAUUCAUUGCUAUGAUGAAGACUGGAUCAAUUUCUAUCCCUUAUACCAUAUAUUCCAAGAAUACUAGUUGUUUUUUUAACCAUCCUGCAUGGCUAACAUUGUUUAAUAAAAGUAAUAACGAUCAAUAAAAACAAUAGAAUCCAUAUGACAUCACCCAGGCUCGUUAUUUAUGAGGAAAUGUUGUGUAUGAGCAAAGAAACACGCUUACCUAGUGUGGUCAAGCACCUUUUUUCUUCCAGUAUUGAUACAGGUCAUCCAGACUUAAGACUUUACAGCUUUUAGAAGACUUUCAUUCCUAAAAACCAUAAAAUGUUAUCGUCUGUUAAAGAUUCUACACUACGUGUUAACGGGGAAACUGCAGUUUGCAUCAUCUUUCAUCAAAAGUAUGUAUUUCUGCUCAUUAUAAAAUUAGGGAUCUGAACAUUUUCCAAAAUAAAUGUUCUGUUCCCAGUUAAAAAUAACUACUACAUCAAGCAUUUUAGCACAGCUAAGAAGAGGAGCAUUUAAACAGUGCAGUUUGUUUAGGAGAAAUAUUUCUGGGUUUUGAUUUUUCAGUCUUUCUUUGUCUUGGAAUGAGAAAUCAGAAAGUCUGUCCCAGAACAAACACUAUUGUGUUUGUGAUGAUUUCAUUGACUGUGGUUCCAGAAGAAUCAUUAGGAACAGAACACAUUUGUCCUAAGGAAGCCUUUGUGACCUUUUGUUUCUGAAUUUUUUAGUAUUUUUGAGAAAAUCAGUAUCACCUCAACAAAAAAAUUAAAAUUAAAAAUAAUUAAGAGAAAACUUUGUUCCUUUAGAGCCAUAAUUAAAACACCUAAGUGUCCUUUAAUUACUUAAGCAUGGAUUUACUUUUUAUAAAACCUGAGUGGCAUUAUUUAUCUUGAUGAGAUUGUGAAAUGACUCUUCUCUUUCUGUUAGUCCUCCCCCACUCCUACUUCCUCCCUCUUACAUUGAGUGUUCAUGGGUGGAUUGUCACUGUAGGUAGGAAACAAAAAGCUGCCCAACAAAAUCAAACAGCAUAAUAAACAAAGCUCCGUCCUUGGUGGAGUCAUAAUCCUUUUUGGAAACUUUAGGUGGUAACAGGAUUGUAUUUACGUUAUGUGACAAAUAAGUUGGUUGUCUCUUUCAGCCCCAGCACUGCUCUGUAUACAGUCUGUUUCAUGAUAGGGUGGAGGCAAUUGAUGAAAUUGGUUAUAAUAUGUAAAAUCUAAGAUGAAAAUUUUAGACUUGGUAACAUUGAAAUUGUUAAUAGAUUUUAAUGAAUUGGGGGCUUAUGUAAUGAUGAUAGAAAUGUGAGAUUUCAUUGCGUGGAAUCUGUAAGUCAUAGUCACUGUAACAUUUUCCCCAGAAAACUAGAUUCUUAUUUGUCACUUAAGGUAUUUUCUUAAGGAAUUUACUUAGGGUAAAAUCAGUCUCGUUACCACCAUUUUUUAAAAUAAUUUUUUUACGUUUAUUUAUGUUGAGAGAGACAGAGCAGGAGCAAGAGAAGGGCAGAGCGAGAGGAGAGAGAAUCCCAAGCAGGCUCUGCAGGGUCAGUGCAGAGCCCAACGUGAGGCCUGAACUCAUGAAACCGUGAGAUCAUGACCUGAGGUGAAAUCAAGAGUCAGAUGCUUAACAGACUGAGCCAACCCAGGCGCUCCAACCACCACCUUUAAAGUUCAUGAAAAGCCUAUCACUUUACCAAUGAGGAAUUCUCUAACAAAGGCAAUUGCCAGUAGCUACUCACUUUCAUUUCAGCAUAUCGUCAGAAUUUGGGGAAAGUCUGGCCUAAAACAUGACAAAUGGGAUACGUUUUUUACUUCAGUUUCUUGGAUUUGUAUGGCUGUCCAAAGAACCGUUUUAAUAAGGAAUCAAAAGGACUACCUGCUGCUGUUCAGCAGGAUUCUUUUAAAUAUUGGAAGGAAAGAAACAAAAUUUCCAGAAGCCACAGUGCUAAAAUAAAUAAACUUUAUGUUCUAACAGCAGCAAUAUUUUGCCAUCCUGUUUCCUCUCACUGUAGAUUAAAAUGGGACAUUUGCCCAGGAAGUAUAAUACUGUGUAGGAAGAAACAAAUCAAAUCAAAUUCCUAAAAAUGAAAACUAAAGAAAGGGUUGGGACUACUGUGUUGCAAUUGCUUUUUUUCAGGGGGUUUGAACUUCUUUCUUCAUGACACUUUUUAAAAUUAAUUAAUUAAUUUUUGAAAGAGAGGUGGGGGGAGGAGCAGAGAGAGAGGAUCUGAAGCUGGUUCUGUACUGACAGUGAGAGGCCACUGCAGGGCUCGAACUCACGAAGAGUAAGAUCAUGACCUGAGCCAGGUAGGAUGCCUUAACUGACUGAGCCCACGAGGCGCUCCUCUUCGUGACAGUAAAAAAAAAAUUUUUUUUAAUGUUUAUAUAUUUUUGAGAGACAGAGUGUGAGUUGGGGAGGGGCAGAGAGAGAGGGAGACACAGAAUCAAAGCAGACUCCAGGUUCCCAGUGGUCAGCACAGAGCCCCAUGCGGGGCUCGAACUCACAAACCUCCAGGUCAUGACCUGAGCUGAAGUCAAUCGCUUAACCAACUAAACCACCCAGGCACUCCUUUCUGACAUUUUUAAAGGAGCUUGAUUAAGAUGUAAUUCACAUCCCAUACAAUGCACCCAUUUAAAGUGUGCAAUUCAGUAGUAUUUGGUAUAUUGGAUUAUUGGGGUUUCUUUAUUGUAAAAUAUAUGUAAUGCAAAAUUUGUCAUUUUAACCAUUUUUAUUGUAAUUUUUAAAUUCAGUGGCAUUAAUUACCUUUACAAUGCUAUUCACCCCUCCCCUCUAUUUCCAAAACUGUUUCACCACCCUAAACAGAAACUCUGUUUUUCUCAUCUCCAUGACAUUUUCUGUCCUCUGUCAAUAGACACCUAACAUUUCCUUGGGAAAUGUCUCUGCUGUAUUUUUGUGAUCUUAAAUUUGUUCUUCUUUUUGCCUCAGGUUUUCUUCAAUUUUUAUUUUCUAGAACAUUAAAAAAAAAAAGAUUUUCUCAUUCUGGAUGCAAGCGCAGACAGGCAUGCUACUGAGGUAUGGAGUAGCGUUGUUGCUGUUGGAAUUCCUACCAAGAUAGGAAUGCAGGCAAAUGAAAAUCUUAGUGAGUAAAACAGAAAGAAUUUCACUCUGGAACUUUAGCUUUAAGUUGUUUUUCAGUUUCUUGAGGUGUCUUAGGAUUGUUGUGUUUUCUUUAAGUUUUUUUUUUUUUUUUUUUUUUUUUUUUUUUUUUUUUUUUUAAGUAAUCUCUACACCCAAAGUGGGGCUCAAACUCACAACACUGAGAUCAGGAGUUGCAUGCUCCACCAACUGAGCCAGCCAGGUGUCCUGAGAAAUCUUAGGGUUUAAUCAAUAUUUCCAUGUCUCCCAAAUCUGAUCAAAGAAGUUUAAACACAUAAUUUGGGAUAUGAAUGGAAAAAGACAAUGCUUAUUUAGGGAAAUAGCUCCCAAGCAAUUUCACCUUGUGCUUACCAGCACUUAAGAUGCUCUUUGAGUUUAGCUGUAAGGCCUCUGGAUAGAUUUGUUUGAGGGUAGGUCUCAAUCAGAUAAGUUAAGUGGUGUUGACCUUCUCAGAGCACCUGGAUGCCAGAGUGGAUUUCAUCUAGACAGCCUGAUCUUGGUAGGAACAGAGAAAUCAACAAGGCCAUUCCUAUGUUUCAUAUGUUCUUUUAGUGACUAAUGGCAUGGACCUAGUCUCCCCAGUGCUUCUCUCUCAGGUAUAAGUGAAAGAACCACACUGUCCAAGUGGCAUUUAUAGAAUGAACCAAGUGACUGAAUCUAGGAACUCUUCCAUUGUCUUGAAUCUUCUUCUAGUCUUUUCAGCUAAUAAAAUAAGUAAGACAGAUGAAUGAUAUUCUUACUGAUAAAAUGUUGGUACAUUGAUGUUAUUCUUAAUACAUUUCACCUACCCAAAUUUUUUAUUAAGUUUAUUUAUUUAAGCAAUCUGUACACCCAAUAUAAGGCUCAAACUCAUGACCCUAAGAUCAAGAGUUGCAUGCUCUUCUGGGGGUGCCUGGGUGGCUCAGUUGGUUAGGCGAUCGACUUCAGCUCAAGUCAUGAUCUUGUGGUUUGUGGGUUCGAGCCCCACGUCGGGAUCUGCGCUGACAGCUCAGAGCCUGGAGGCUGCCUCGGAUUCUGUGUCUCCCUCUGUUUCUGCUCCUCCCUUGCUCAUGCUCUGUCUCUCUUUCCUUCAAAAAUAAAUAAAUAUUAAAAAAAUGAAAAAAAAAAAAAAAAGAGUUGCAUGCUCUUCUGACUGAGCCAGCCAGGUACCCCUCACCUACCCAAAUUUUUAUCUCAUAAAAACAAUUUCAACACUAUAAUAGAAAACCAAACUCACCUUUACAAAAAUCUAAGAAAUCCCAGAUGCUUUAUUAAACUGUUACACAUGCUAGGUGGCAUAUACAAUGAAUAUUCCUGAGGGAAAAAAAUAAACACUAUUUUUACUGCUGUCUGUAACUAUUCAAAUCACUUUGACAAGUUUGGCAACCCCCUUAAUUAGGAAUUUACUACACUGGAGAUAAAAGAGUUUAACAAGGAAUAUAUUUAAAGCCACCAAGAUACUCACUAAUGCUUCAGUAUCAUUGAUUUAUGGCCAGUAAACAUCAUUUUCUUAAGUAGAUUACAUGAUUGCCGGAGAAGAAGCAAAUGGAGAAUAACCCUGUUUCCCAUCAUCUCUGACAAUGGGAUGCAGUUAUCAGAUACUGUUGCCAUGGUUCUUGGGAGUCCUAUAGAGUGCUUUGGUUCAGUUCCCAGCCUGGGGACUCAACAACUGGGUCUAACAGCUCUGACUGCCC
Long non-coding RNA from Panthera uncia (snow leopard), 6217 nucleotides. RefSeq lists it as uncharacterized. NCBI's taxonomy places the organism in Eukaryota, Metazoa, Chordata, Mammalia, Carnivora, Felidae. The transcript is spliced from 2 exons. The record is from RefSeq and is a predicted model, not a curated record.